This 85-nucleotide transfer RNA is filed under the name Deltaproteobacteria bacterium. RNAcentral describes it as "tRNA-Leu". It matches the Rfam family "tRNA". Rfam says of the family: Transfer RNA (tRNA) molecules are approximately 80 nucleotides in length. Their secondary structure includes four short double-helical elements and three loops (D, anti-codon, and T loops). The record is from RNAcentral. Lineage: Bacteria; Pseudomonadati; Myxococcota; Myxococcia.
GCGAGAGUGGCGGAACGGUAGACGCACUGGCCUUAGGAGCCAGCGGCCCUAGGCUGUAGGGGUUCAAAUCCCCUCUCUCGCACCA